RNAcentral lists this ribosomal RNA (461 nucleotides) under Bacillus cereus. RNAcentral's name for it is "bacterial SSU rRNA". It matches the Rfam family "Bacterial small subunit ribosomal RNA", at positions 68 to 512 of the family's 1533-position model. The record is from RNAcentral. Lineage: Bacteria; Bacillati; Bacillota; Bacilli; Caryophanales; Bacillaceae.
UGGAUUAAGAGCUUGCUCUUAUGAAGUUAGCGGCGGACGGGUGAGUAACACGUGGGUAACCUGCCCAUAAGACUGGGAUAACUCCGGGAAACCGGGGCUAAUACCGGAUAACAUUUUGAACCGCAUGGUUCGAAAUUGAAAGGCGGCUUCGGCUGUCACUUAUGGAUGGACCCGCGUCGCAUUAGCUAGUUGGUGAGGUAACGGCUCACCAAGGCAACGAUGCGUAGCCGACCUGAGAGGGUGAUCGGCCACACUGGGACUGAGACACGGCCCAGACUCCUACGGGAGGCAGCAGUAGGGAAUCUUCCGCAAUGGACGAAAGUCUGACGGAGCAACGCCGCGUGAGUGAUGAAGGCUUUCGGGUCGUAAAACUCUGUUGUUAGGGAAGAACAAGUGCUAGUUGAAUAAGCUGGCACCUUGACGGUACCUAACCAGAAAGCCACGGCUAACUACGUGCCAGC